UAUCUUCUAGGUAAGCCACCACUGGACGAUAAUCAGAUGCCACCAUCCCUAAAUAUUCUGUAUAAAAACAUGGAAAUAGAGUGUGCCACUCCUCGUUUGCUAAAGCACAAUCUAGACGACAUCUGAUCAUCACUACCCCUUUUCCUCUUCUCUCUUGCCAUGACAUUUUGUUUCCCGGAGCCGGAAACUCCAAUAAUCCACUAUUUCUUCUUAUGUUGUUAAAAGGAAUAAAUGAAUCCACACUUCUCAAAGAACCUCCCUCUUUUUCAUGAUUUCCAGUGAUCUCAUUUAAAUCGCCAAUGAUAAACCAGGGUUCAGAUCGUGAGAGCCUAUAUCUAGUUAAUCGCCCC
Molecule: long non-coding RNA, 350 nt
Filed under: Brassica napus (rape)
Lineage: Eukaryota; Viridiplantae; Streptophyta; Magnoliopsida; Brassicales; Brassicaceae
Description: long non-coding RNA (BNAP_LNC004348)
Source: RNAcentral